This 253-nucleotide ribosomal RNA is filed under the name uncultured bacterium. Its description in RNAcentral is "partial 16S ribosomal RNA". It matches the Rfam family "Bacterial small subunit ribosomal RNA", at positions 524 to 776 of the family's 1533-position model. The record is from RNAcentral.
UACGGAGGGAGCUAGCGUUGUUCGGAAUUACUGGGCGUAAAGCGCACGUAGGCGGCUUUGUAAGUUAGAGGUGAAAGCCCGGGGCUCAACCCCGGAAUUGCCUUUAAGACUGCAUCGCUUGAAUCCGGGAGAGGUGGGUGGAAUUCCGAGUGUAGAGGUGAAAUUCGUAGAUAUUCGGAAGAACACCAGUGGCGAAGGCGGCUCACUGGACCGGUAUUGACGCUGAGGUGCGAAAGCGUGGGGAGCAAACAGG